AUUGAACGCUGGCGGCAGGCCUAACACAUGCAAGUCGAGCGGAUGACGGGAGCUUGCUCCUUGAUUCAGCGGCGGACGGGUGAGUAAUGCCUAGGAAUCUGCCUGGUAGUGGGGGACAACGUUUCGAAAGGAACGCUAAUACCGCAUACGUCCUACGGGAGAAAGCAGGGGACCUUCGGGCCUUGCGCUAUCAGAUGAGCCUAGGUCGGAUUAGCUUGUUGGUGAGGUAAUGGCUCACCAAGGCGACGAUCCGUAACUGGUCUGAGAGGAUGAUCAGUCACACUGGAACUGAGACACGGUCCAGACUCCUACGGGAGGCAGCAGUGGGGAAUAUUGGACAAUGGGCGAAAGCCUGAUCCAGCCAUGCCGCGUGUGUGGAGAAGGUCUUCGGAUUGUAAAGCACUUUAAGUUGGGAGGAAGGGUUGUAGAUUAAUACUCUGCAAUUUUGACGUUACCGACAGAAUAAGCACCGGCUAACUCUGUG
This 484-nucleotide ribosomal RNA is filed under the name uncultured bacterium. RNAcentral describes it as "partial 16S ribosomal RNA". It matches the Rfam family "Bacterial small subunit ribosomal RNA", at positions 30 to 507 of the family's 1533-position model. The record is from RNAcentral.